CAGCGCCACGGUAAUACAGAGGGUGCGAGCGUUAAUCGGAUUUACUGGGCGUAAAGCGUGCGUAGGCGGCUUUUUAAGUCGGAUGUGAAAUCCCUGAGCUUAACUUAGGAAUUGCAUUCGAUACUGGGAAGCUAGAGUAUGGGAGAGGAUGGUAGAAUUCCAGGUGUAGCGGUGAAAUGCGUAGAGAUCUGGAGGAAUACCGAUGGCGAAGGCAGCCAUCUGGCCUAAUACUGACGCUGAGGUACGAAAGCAUGGGGAGCAAACAGGAUUAGAUACCCCGGUAGUCCCUGUCUCUUAUACA
Molecule: ribosomal RNA, 301 nt
Filed under: uncultured bacterium
Lineage: Bacteria
Description: partial 16S ribosomal RNA
Rfam family: Bacterial small subunit ribosomal RNA
Source: RNAcentral